GAUGAACGCUGGCGGCGUGCUUAACACAUGCAAGUCGAACGAAGCACUUUAUUUGAUUUCCUUCGGGACUGAUUAUUUUGUGACUGAGUAGCGGACGGGUGAGUAACGCGUGGGUAACCUGCCUUGUACAGGGGGAUAACAGUUGGAAACGGCUGCUAAUACCGCAUAAGCGCACAGCAUCGCAUGAUGCAGUGUGAAAAACUCCGGUGGUAUAAGAUGGACCCGCGUUGGAUUAGCUAGUUGGUGAGGUAACGGCCCACCAAGGCGACGAUCCAUAGCCGACCUGAGAGGGUGACCGGCCACAUUGGGACUGAGACACGGCCCAAACUCCUACGGGAGGCAGCAGUGGGGAAUAUUGCACAAUGGGCGAAAGCCUGAUGCAGCGACGCCGCGUGAGCGAAGAAGUAUUUCGGAAUGUAAAGCUCUAUCAGCAGGGAAGAUAAUGACGGUACCUGACUAAGAAGCACCGGCUAAAUACGUG
RNAcentral lists this ribosomal RNA (481 nucleotides) under uncultured bacterium. Its description in RNAcentral is "partial 16S ribosomal RNA". It matches the Rfam family "Bacterial small subunit ribosomal RNA", at positions 28 to 507 of the family's 1533-position model. The record is from RNAcentral.